RNAcentral lists this ribosomal RNA (253 nucleotides) under uncultured bacterium. RNAcentral describes it as "partial 16S ribosomal RNA". It matches the Rfam family "Bacterial small subunit ribosomal RNA", at positions 524 to 776 of the family's 1533-position model. The record is from RNAcentral.
UACGGAGGGUGCGAGCGUUGUCCGGAAUCACUGGGCGUAAAGCGCGCGUAGGCGGCUUUGUAAGUCAGAGGUGAAAGCCUGGAGCUCAACUCCAGAACUGCCUUUGAGACUGCAUCGCUAGAAUCAUGGAGAGGUAAGUGGAAUUCCGAGUGUAGAGGUGAAAUUCGUAGAUAUUCGGAAGAACACCAGUGGCGAAGGCGACUUACUGGACAUGUAUUGACGCUGAGGUGCGAAAGCGUGGGGAGCAAACAGG